This 464-nucleotide ribosomal RNA is filed under the name uncultured bacterium. Its description in RNAcentral is "partial 16S ribosomal RNA". It matches the Rfam family "Bacterial small subunit ribosomal RNA", at positions 28 to 507 of the family's 1533-position model. The record is from RNAcentral.
GACGAACGCUGGCGGCGUGCUUAACACAUGCAAGUCGAACGGAAAGGCCCUGCUUGCAGGGUACUCGAGUGGCGAACGGGUGAGUAACACGUGGGCGAUCUGCCCUGCACUUCGGGAUAAGCCUGGGAAACUGGGUCUAAUACCGGAUAGGAGCCAUUUUUAGUGUGAUGGUUGGAAAGUUUUUUCGGUGUAGGAUGAGCUCGCGGCCUAUCAGCUUGUUGGUGGGGUAAUGGCCUACCAAGGCGGCGACGGGUAGCCGGCCUGAGAGGGUGGACGGCCACAUUGGGACUGAGAUACGGCCCAGACUCCUACGGGAGGCAGCAGUGGGGAAUAUUGCACAAUGGGCGCAAGCCUGAUGCAGCGACGCCGCGUGGGGGAUGACGGCCUUCGGGUUGUAAACUCCUUUCGCUAGGGACGAAGCUUUUGUGACGGUACCUAGAUAAGAAGCACCGGCUAACUACGUG